GCAUUAAUAAUUUAAUAUGAAAAAUACUAGUCUUGUAAACUAACCUUAAGAGAAAAUCUUUUAAUGCU
RNAcentral lists this transfer RNA (68 nucleotides) under Ips shangrila. Its description in RNAcentral is "tRNA-Thr". It matches the Rfam family "tRNA". From Rfam's summary of the family: Transfer RNA (tRNA) molecules are approximately 80 nucleotides in length. Their secondary structure includes four short double-helical elements and three loops (D, anti-codon, and T loops). Lineage: Eukaryota; Metazoa; Arthropoda; Insecta; Coleoptera; Curculionidae. The record is from RNAcentral.